This 894-nucleotide ribosomal RNA is filed under the name Aureobasidium tremulum. RNAcentral describes it as "partial large subunit ribosomal RNA". It matches the Rfam family "Eukaryotic large subunit ribosomal RNA", at positions 40 to 961 of the family's 3401-position model. The record is from RNAcentral. Lineage: Eukaryota; Fungi; Ascomycota; Dothideomycetes; Dothideales; Saccotheciaceae.
AUAUCAUAGCGAGAAAAGAAACCACAGGGAUUGCCCUAGUAACGGCGAGUGAAGCGGCAACAGCUCAAAUUUGAAAGCUGGCCUUCGGGUCCGCAUUGUAAUUUGUAGAGGAUGCUUUGGGGCAGCCGCCUGUCUAAGUUCCUUGGAACAGGACGUCAUAGAGGGUGAGAAUCCCGUAUGUGACAGGACAUGGCACCCUAUGUAAAGCUCCUUCGACGAGUCGAGUUGUUUGGGAAUGCAGCUCUAAAUGGGAGGUAAAUUUCUUCUAAAGCUAAAUAUUGGCGAGAGACCGAUAGCGCACAAGUAGAGUGAUCGAAAGAUGAAAAGCACUUUGGAAAGAGAGUUAAAAAGCACGUGAAAUUGUUGAAAGGGAAGCGCUUGCAAUCAGACUUGUUCAAACCGUUCGGCCGGUCUUCUGACCGGUUUACUCGGUUUGGACAGGCCAGCAUCAGUUUCGGCGGCCGGAUAAAGGCUCUGGGAAUGUGGCCUCCACUUCGGUGGAGGUGUUAUAGCCCGGGGUGUAAUACGGCCAGCCGGGACUGAGGUCCGCGCUUCGGCUAGGAUGCUGGCGUAAUGGUUGUAAGCGACCCGUCUUGAAACACGGACCAAGGAGUCUAACAUCUAUGCGAGUGUUCGGGUGUCAAACCCCUGCGCGUAAUGAAAGUGAACGGAGGUGGGAACCGCAAGGUGCACCAUCGACCGAUCCUGAUGUCUUCGGAUGGAUUUGAGUAAGAGCAUAGCUGUUGGGACCCGAAAGAUGGUGAACUAUGCCUGAAUAGGGUGAAGCCAGAGGAAACUCUGGUGGAGGCUCGCAGCGGUUCUGACGUGCAAAUCGAUCGUCAAAUUUGGGUAUAGGGGCGAAAGACUAAUCGACCAUCUAGUAGCUGCUCUGCC